UCGAGAAUUUUUCUCAAUGGGCGCAAGCCUGAUGGAGCGACGCCGCGUGGGGGAUGAAGGGUUUCGAUCCGUAAACCCCUGUCAUUUGCGAACAAACCUUGAUUGUGAAUAGCGAUCGAGCUGAUUGUAGCGGAAGAGGAAGGGACGGCUAACUCUGUGCCAGCAGCCGCGGUAAUACAGAGGUCCCAAGCGUUGUUCGGAUUCACUGGGCGUAAAGGGUGCGUAGGUGGUCGGUGAAGUUCGGUGUGAAAGCUCGGAGCUCAACUCCGAAACGGCAUUGAAAACUCAUCGGCUGGAGGGUCGGAGGGGAGACUGGAAUUCUCGGUGUAGCAGUGAAAUGCGUAGAUAUCGAGAGGAACACCAGUGGCGAAGGCGAGUCUCUGGACGACUCCUGACACUGAGGCACGAAAGCCAGGGGAGCAAACAG
Molecule: ribosomal RNA, 427 nt
Filed under: uncultured bacterium
Lineage: Bacteria
Description: bacterial SSU rRNA
Rfam family: Bacterial small subunit ribosomal RNA
Source: RNAcentral